Molecule: ribosomal RNA, 916 nt
Filed under: uncultured bacterium
Lineage: Bacteria
Description: bacterial SSU rRNA
Rfam family: Bacterial small subunit ribosomal RNA
Source: RNAcentral
AGAGUUUGAUCCUGGCUCAGGACGAACGCUGGCGGCGUGCUUAAUACAUGCAAGUCGAGCGAGGUUACUGUUUUGGAUCCCUUCGGGGUGAAGAAGCUUUAACCUAGCGGCGGACGGGUGAGUAACGCGUGGGUAACCUACCCCAAAGUCCGGGAUAACAGCGGGAAACCGCUGCUAAUACCGGAUGUCUUUACCUUGGGGCAUCUUGAGGUAAAGAAAGGUAACGCUUUGGGAUGGGCCCGCGUCCCAUUAGCUAGUUGGUGAGGUAACGGCUCACCAAGGCGACGAUGGGUAGCCGGCCUGAGAGGGUGGACGGCCACACUGGGACUGAGACACGACCCAGACUCCUACGGGAGGCAGCAGUAGGGAAUAUUGCGCAAUGGACGGAAGUCCGACGCAGCGACGCCGCGUGAGCGAUGAAGGUCUUCGGAUCGUAAAGCUCUGUCCUUGGGGAAGAAGGCGAAAGCUUGACGGUACCCAAGAAGAAAGCCCCGGCUAACUACGUGCCAGCAGCCGCGGUAAUACGUAGGGGGCGAGCGUUGUCCGGAAUUACUGGGCGUAAAGGGUGCGUAGGCGGCCCUUUAAGUCGGAUGUGAAAGCCCGCGGCUUAACCGCGGAAUGGCAUUCGAAACUGGAGGGCUUGAGUGUCGGAGAGGGUAGUGGAAUUCCCAGUGUAGCGGUGAAAUGCGUAGAUAUUGGGAGGAACACCAGUGGCGAAGGCGACUACCUGGACGAUAACUGACGCUGAGGCACGAAAGCUAGGGGAGCAAACAGGAUUAGAUACCCUGGUAGUCCUAGCCGUAAACGAUGGGUACUAGGUGUGGGUGGUUUCGAUACCAUCCGUGCCGUAGUUAACGCAUUAAGUACCCCGCCUGGGGAGUACGUGCGCAAGCAUGAAACUCAAAGGAAUUGACGG